GACUUCCUGGCAAGCCUUGGCUGUCCCUGCCUGUGGAAUUUCUGGAAUCCCACGGCCUCCUGCCCGACUUCUCGCCCUCCCACACAGCGUUCCUGCUGUUGGGAGACGGAGACGGUGUCUGUCUUCCCACGGAGAGAACACACCCCUAGGACCUCCCACACAAGGGUUUCGGGAGUCCGAAGUGGCUCAGGCAAGCGCCCCAUGAAUCUCUGAUGCUGUUCUAAGCUCUGUGAUUAGGAAAUGAAGGAGACAGACCUGGUCUUUACCUGUGUGCAAGUCAUGCAAGUCACUUCUGGGAUCAGGUGAGGAGCUCAUUCCAGGAGACCCCAGGGUUACCUGACACCAGCCAGCCAUGAAUUUGGUCCUGUUCUGUCUGCUGCAGCUGGGAACGAGAGUGCCCGGGGCAGAUGAUCUGCCCAGGAGCUGGGAAUAGCAUUGUGCACAUGGAAGGCUCCCUCAAAAAUGAAGGCAGACCCCUCAAAACACCAACAGGCUGUAUCCCAUCCUGAUGUGCCAGAGCAGCCUCGGGCCCCUGUGUGCUGCAGCCAACACAGGCAAAGGAGGGAGCGAGGCUGGGGACUGUGAGCCCUGGCUGUCACCUGCCCCAGCCUCCAGAGUCCUCUGAGCUCUUCGCACCUGUGUCUUCUCAUCUCUCAGGGUGCCCUUCUGGGUGCCCAGCUUAGCA
Molecule: non-coding RNA, 685 nt
Organism: Heterocephalus glaber (naked mole-rat)
Lineage: Eukaryota; Metazoa; Chordata; Mammalia; Rodentia; Bathyergidae
Source: RefSeq, a predicted model, not a curated record